This 613-nucleotide ribosomal RNA is filed under the name Penicillium commune. Its description in RNAcentral is "eukaryotic LSU rRNA". The stretch from base 232 to 384 matches the Rfam family "5.8S ribosomal RNA". The record is from RNAcentral. Lineage: Eukaryota; Fungi; Ascomycota; Eurotiomycetes; Eurotiales; Aspergillaceae.
UGGAAGUAAAAGUCGUAACAAGGUUUCCGUAGGUGAACCUGCGGAAGGAUCAUUACCGAGUGAGGGCCCUCUGGGUCCAACCUCCCACCCGUGUUUAUUUUACCUUGUUGCUUCGGCGGGCCCGCCUUAACUGGCCGCCGGGGGGCUUACGCCCCCGGGCCCGCGCCCGCCGAAGACACCCUCGAACUCUGUCUGAAGAUUGAAGUCUGAGUGAAAAUAUAAAUUAUUUAAAACUUUCAACAACGGAUCUCUUGGUUCCGGCAUCGAUGAAGAACGCAGCGAAAUGCGAUACGUAAUGUGAAUUGCAAAUUCAGUGAAUCAUCGAGUCUUUGAACGCACAUUGCGCCCCCUGGUAUUCCGGGGGGCAUGCCUGUCCGAGCGUCAUUGCUGCCCUCAAGCCCGGCUUGUGUGUUGGGCCCCGUCCCCCGAUCUCCGGGGGACGGGCCCGAAAGGCAGCGGCGGCACCGCGUCCGGUCCUCGAGCGUAUGGGGCUUUGUCACCCGCUCUGUAGGCCCGGCCGGCGCUUGCCGAUCAACCCAAAUUUUUAUCCAGGUUGACCUCGGAUCAGGUAGGGAUACCCGCUGAACUUAAGCAUAUCAAUAAGCGGAGGAAA